This 319-nucleotide ribosomal RNA is filed under the name uncultured eukaryote. RNAcentral describes it as "partial 18S ribosomal RNA". It matches the Rfam family "Eukaryotic small subunit ribosomal RNA", at positions 1470 to 1796 of the family's 1831-position model. The record is from RNAcentral.
CCCUUAGAUGUUCUGGGCCGCACGCGCGCUACACUGAUACGUUCAACAAGUUCCUUGGCCGAAAGGUCUGGGUAAUCUUUGAAACCGUAUCGUGAUGGGGAUAGAACAUUGCAAUUAUUGUUCUUCAACGAGGAAUGCCUAGUAAGCGCGAGUCAUCAACUCGCGUUGAUUACGUCCCUGCCCUUUGUACACACCGCCCGUCGCACCUACCGAUUGAAUGGUCCGGUGAAAUCUCCGGACUGGCGUGAGUCGGAGCAAUCUGACAAACACCGGAAAGUUGAUUAAACCUUACCAUUUAGAGGAAGGUGAAGUCGUAACA